Coturnix japonica (Japanese quail) is the source of this 1762-nucleotide long non-coding RNA. The record is from Ensembl. Lineage: Eukaryota; Metazoa; Chordata; Aves; Galliformes; Phasianidae.
AUAAACUCUGUGGAUGUGAAAAAAGACUUUUCUAGCAGAAACUGAACUAGUCACUGGAAGAGUGUGGUCAAAAUUCCUUGCCACCUCAAUUUCACUCCUGUUUUUUUUUUUGUUUUUUUUUUUUUUUUUGUUUUUGUUUUGUUUUUGUUUUUGUUUUGGUUUUGGUUUUUGUUUCCUUUAGUAGUGAAUGGUCAUGAGUGAAGCCUUGAAGUUCUGGAAGCAGAACACCCAGAUUGUUCUCUUUUGAUACAGCACAGAAGCAGAAGAAUAACCCUUUCUUGGGGAAAGGAACAGCACAGUGUUGAGAACAAUGUUGGGCUCCUUGUUUCUACUGACCAGUAUAGCUGCUAAUAAUGUCACUUUCAGUCACAGCUAAAACUUGAACACUACUAGUUAGUUUCUUCUGGAAUACAGCAUUUUUCUUCUAAUUGCACUUUAUUUUUCAUCAUUCUAUGCCUUCUCCUUUUCUAAUCCUUUUCCCAUAUAUUGCCAUUUCUUUUUCCUUCUUUCCAUCUUCCAUGUUUCCAUUUAUCCACCUCCUCCAGCUCAUUUUUCGCAGUUCUGUAUCUGACUCUACAUUAAGAUCACUCAUGCUCUUUUGGUUGCUUUUACUGAAAGCAGCAUCCCUAUAUUCUUCAUGCUUAUAUGUGGAUAGAGAGCUGGAGGCACUGCAAAGACCACUCUCCAGUCCAGAUCCUAAACCCAAGAAGGCUCAAGGAAUCCAAAACAAAGUUAAUCUGAUCAACGGGGAUCAAUAGAAAAAUUUAAAGCUGAGUGACAACUGCAAUUUUGGGACUACUCAUCUGUGUGCACUGGCCACCUGUGGGAACCAAGCCAGACAGACCUUCAGCAUUCUACAACAGAAUGCCUUAAUCUGAAACACUGAUAGCAGACCAGACUGCUGAGGGUGGUUCUGUGAAUUUUCCAGUCUGCAUAGUGCACAGGGUACUAUGAGAAAUGUACCACCACCAUGAGCCACAAGUGCAUCAGGUGAAGAAUGGCUAAGCAUGGGUGCAGAGCCAAUGGGGUGAGGAUAUGUUUCCCAAGCAGAGAAAACUAGGAAGGCUGGACAUGACAGUGAGGGUCAAAGGAGGGUCCAGAUCAUCAUUUAAGUCUGAGGCAGGUCUCAAGUUGAGACAGGAAUGUAAGUUAGAAAAGAAGGAUCAGGUCUGGCAAUAGUAACCAGGGCUGCAGUCAGCCUGGUGACUACUGGACAGGUCCAGAGAAAUAUGACAACUCUGAAGUCAGGCUGUGAAGUCAAUGCAUUCGUCAGGGUCCAUGUUAGCAGAGUGCAUGGCCAGGCAUGACUGUGACAGAGCUGGAGAUAGGCAUUCUACAGCAUAGCUUAGACAGGGACUGAUCGCCCCAUGCUGAUCCUCUGGGGCAGGGGUGUGAAGGAGACCUAUUUGAGAACCAGGAUAUUAGUGCCCUUGGGGUCUUGAUAAGCAUAUGGGACAGUGGCUGAUCAGUAACCUGAGAACAAGCAUAACUGGUGGAUAUUUUGCUAGAAGGUGCAGCACUUGACAGGUGACAAGACGCAAAUUGGGGCCUUCGGGCUUCGGAUAAGGUAGCAGAUCAAGCUGGGCAAAGGAAAAGCACAAAGCGCCAUUACAGGCUGGGGGAUGAUCUGCUGGAGAGGAGCUCUGCAGAGAGGGACCUGGGUGUCCUGGUGAAUGACAGGUUGGCCAUGAGCCAGCAGUCCUUGUGGCCCUUGUGGCCAAAAAAACCAAUGGCUUUCUGGGGUGCAUUAGGAAAAGCGUGG